UACGAAGGGGGCUAGCGUUGCUCGGAAUUACUGGGCGUAAAGGGUUCGUAGGUGGCCACUUAAGUCAGACGUGAAAUCCCUCAGCUUAACUGGGGAACUGCGUCUGAUACUGGAUGGCUUGAGUUUGGGAGAGGGAUGCGGAAUUCCAGGUGUAGCGGUGAAAUGCGUAGAUAUCUGGAGGAACACCGGUGGCGAAGGCGGCAUCCUGGACCAACACUGACACUGAGGAGCGAAAGCCAGGGGAGCAAACGGG
Molecule: ribosomal RNA, 253 nt
Filed under: uncultured bacterium
Lineage: Bacteria
Description: partial 16S ribosomal RNA
Rfam family: Bacterial small subunit ribosomal RNA
Source: RNAcentral